This 660-nucleotide small RNA is filed under the name Pongo abelii (Sumatran orangutan). RNAcentral describes it as "processed transcript". The record is from RNAcentral. Lineage: Eukaryota; Metazoa; Chordata; Mammalia; Primates; Hominidae.
GAUUUGUCAGUGUUUCCUCACCAGGGACCUCACGAGGAAAACAUGGGGAGUCUGGAGAGCUGGAAGACAGGGCACAAAUCCCAUUCAUGAGCUUUCUGCCCUUAUGACCUAAUCACCCGCCACCAAAGCCCCGUCUUCUGUUACCAUCACCUUGGUGUGAAGAUUUCAACAUAUGGAUUUAGGAAGACAGAAACAUUCAGACCAUGGCAUCCUGGCAUCUGGGACAGGGCACCAAGCACGAUAAGGGAUGUGUUCCCCCAAGGUUUACCUGAUGAGUACGCCUUUGUCACAACCUUCCGGUUCAGGAAAACCUCUCGGAAGGAAGACUGGUAUAUCUGGCAGGUCAUCGACCAGUACGGCAUCCCACAGCUUUCAGUUCCCAUGAAGGUAGGACAGCUCUCCACCAGCACACAGUCCAGUGAGGAAAGAGUAAUCUGAAAUUCAAAGCCAUCAACACAAUCUGUUGGUUUGAGAUAAAAGCAACACUACUAUUUGUUCUCUGCCAAAUUCAAAUCCCCUUGUUCUCAAGUCAUAGACAAACUGAUUCUUUCUCCUCUCCUAGAAAAAUGAACUGGAUGAAGAUAUUACUCACUUUCAGCUGGGAGAUACUGACUAAACUUUCACUAGGGGCUAAAAUAAAAUAAAAGCAUGCUCAAGCAA